CUAGGUAGAGCUUGAUAGUUAAGCAUCUCUUUUACACAGAGCAGAUAUUUGUGCAAUCCAAAUUGCCUCGA
This 71-nucleotide transfer RNA is filed under the name Protoreaster nodosus. RNAcentral's name for it is "tRNA-Val". It matches the Rfam family "tRNA". From Rfam's summary of the family: Transfer RNA (tRNA) molecules are approximately 80 nucleotides in length. Their secondary structure includes four short double-helical elements and three loops (D, anti-codon, and T loops). Further hydrogen bonds mediate the characteristic L-shaped molecular structure. tRNAs have two regions of fundamental functional importance: the anti-codon, which is responsible for specific mRNA codon recognition, and the 3' end, to which the tRNAs corresponding amino acid is attached (by aminoacyl-tRNA synthetases). tRNAs cope with the degeneracy of the genetic code in two manners: having more than one tRNA (with a specific anti-codon) for a particular amino acid; and 'wobble' base-pairing, i.e. permitting non-standard base-pairing at the 3rd anti-codon position. Lineage: Eukaryota; Metazoa; Echinodermata; Asteroidea; Valvatida; Oreasteridae. The record is from RNAcentral.